AUCCCCGCCCCCGCGCACCCAGCCCGGGUCGCCGCCGCCGCUCCCCGCUGCGCACGCCCGUUGCGCUGCGCCGUGCCGAGCCGUGCCGUGCCGAGCCGUGCAGAGAGCCGUGCCGGGCCAGCCCUGUGCAUUGUGGUCCGCCGGCGGGGGGCGAAGAUGGCCGAGAAGCAGAAGCACGACGGGCGGGUGAAGAUCGGCCACUACGUGCUGGGCGACACGCUGGGGGUCGGCACCUUCGGCAAAGUCAAGAUUGGCGAACACCAGCUGACGGGGCACAAAGUGGCAGUAAAAAUACUAAACAGACAGAAAAUACGCAGCCUGGAUGUGGUUGGGAAGAUCAAACGAGAAAUUCAAAACCUGAAACUCUUCCGGCACCCUCAUAUUAUCAAACUGUACCAGGUCAUCAGCACACCAACAGACUUCUUCAUGGUCAUGGAAUACGUAUCUGGCGGAGAAUUAUUUGAUUACAUCUGUAAGCAUGGACGCGUUGAAGAGGCAGAGGCUCGACGCCUUUUCCAGCAGAUUCUCUCCGCAGUGGAUUACUGUCACCGACACAUGGUUGUCCACCGAGACCUGAAACCGGAGAACGUGUUGCUGGACGCGCACAUGAAUGCAAAGAUAGCCGAUUUUGGAUUGUCCAACAUGAUGUCAGAUGGUGAAUUUCUUCGCACUAGCUGUGGUUCCCCAAAUUACGCAGCCCCUGAAGUCAUCUCUGGAAGGCUGUACGCCGGUCCAGAGGUGGACAUCUGGAGCUGUGGCGUUAUCCUCUACGCCCUUCUCUGUGGCACGCUGCCCUUCGACGACGAGCAUGUCCCCACGCUCUUCAAGAAGAUCCGGGGAGGUGUGUUUUACAUCCCCGAGUACCUCAACCGCUCUGUUGCCACGCUGCUCAUGCACAUGCUGCAGGUUGACCCCCUCAAGCGAGCAACCAUCAAGGACAUCAGGGAACACGAAUGGUUUAAGGAAGAGCUGCCCAGUUACCUCUUCCCAGAGGACCCUUCCUACGACGCCACCGUCAUCGACGAUGACGCGGUUCGGGAGGUCUGCGAGAAGUUCGAAUGCACCGAGUCAGAGGUGAUGAACAGUCUGUACAGCGGCGACCCGCAGGACCAGCUGGCAGUUGCCUACCACCUCGUCAUCGACAACCGGAGGAUCAUGAACCAGGCCAGUGAGUUCUACCUUGCCUCCAGUCCCCCCACCGGCUCCUUCAUGGAUGACAGCAACAUGCACAUCCCUCCUGGCGUGAAGCCGCACCCCGAGCGGAUGCCGCCUUUGGUAGCGGACAGCCCCAAGGCACGGUGCCCUUUGGAUGCACUCAACACCACAAAGCCCAAACCCCUGACUGUCAAAAAAGCCAAGUGGCAUCUGGGGAUCCGCAGCCAGAGCAAGCCCUACGACAUUAUGGCCGAGGUGUACCGUGCUAUGAAACAGCUGGAUUUUGAGUGGAAGGUGGUGAACUCCUACCAUCUCAGAGUGCGCAGAAAGAACCCAGUGACGGGCAACUACGUGAAAAUGAGUCUGCAGCUGUACCAGGUGGACAACCGCAGCUAUCUCCUGGACUUCAAAAGCAUUGAUGACGAGGUGAUGGAGCAGAGGUCCGGCUCAUCCACUCCGCAGCGCUCAUGCUCUGCCGCAGGGUUGCACCGGCCGAGACUGAGCAUUGAUGCCGCAGCAGCCACCGAGUGCCAGUCGCUGAUGGGGUCCCUGAGCGGCUCCUUCGUGGGCAGCAUCCCCUCGGUGCCCCCACGCCUGGGCAGCCACACCAUGGACUUCUUUGAGAUGUGCGCCAGCCUGAUCAUGGCCCUGGCUCGCUGAGCCAGGCACCAGUCCCCCAGCACAUGGUAUCGCACUGUGAGAAUCGGGUCCGACGUGGCCGUUCCUUCUUUCUUCUUCUUUCUUUGUCCUCCUCACCGCUCCAUAGCCUGUGACACAGAACCAAUUCCUUUUUUAAAAGAUCCAAAAUGUACUCCUUUGUACUCUCAAAGGAUCCAGUCCCCUCUAACAAGGCACUGAGGAAAUCAGGAAUAACUUAAUUUCACUAGUUAGACCAGGGUGAAGUGUAUACAACGAGCUUUUUUUUCCUAGUGAACCAAAUGGGAAACGUGGGCAUGGAUUUGAAGUAGCAAACCUAUCACUGACUUUUUGGUAGACACCUCCCUCCUGGUUGAUCCUGAAUUCACAGAGCUGUGGCCAAGCAUCUCUUUGUACAAAAAACAUAGCGUGCAGCGAGGUUCAUGUUGUACCCCCUGUGCUGCCCAGAGCAGGGGGAGGAUGGGGCUGAGCCUCUGGCAAUGCUUUCCUCCUAAAACCAGCAGCUGCUGAAGUGCUGCUGCACUGUUGUGGUGUGCCAUCCCACCCUCUGUUCUUUUUCCCCUACUAAAGAAGUGUGAGGGGUAGGAUGUGCAAAGCUCCCAUUGCAGAUGUGGGGCAGGAUGCUGCCGAGCCCCCCCCCAAAUCCAGUGCUCUGCCCACAAUGUUCUCAUGGAGGGAGAGCUUCCCUGUACACUUGAGAGCCAGCAGUGUGGCCCUGGCACAUUUACCUUUCACCUUUCCUGUAGGAAGCUUUUGGCCAUCGUCACCGCCCCAAAACAUCUGCCAAAGCCGCCUGCCUUCGCCCGUCGGAGGAUCUGAGAACAAAGAGCUCUGCUGUCCUGAUGCUGAAGGGGCUGGGACCUCGCCGCUCCGUGGAGAAGGCAGGGAUAUCUUGAACGUUUCACUGUUCCUUUACUAUCUGAAGGAUAGGAUUUUAUACUUUAAGACAAACUGUGGGGAUUUUUAAGGUUAAAAUUCUUGUUAUUUGAGGGUAAACUCUAGUGCAUGUGUGACGACUUCUUUGUUUAAAAGAGUUACUACUUCUCAUCGCGUAGGCUUAAUCUCAUGGACAGCGUUGGCAUCUGCUUGGCUUUGCUAUGGUAUUUAAUUCCAUUUACUUGAUUGCGAAGGAACAUAAUAGGCUAAUCAGUCAAGGAACAAAUGCUUUAUGAAAACUUUGCCAAAAAAUCCUGGGUGGUUUUUUUCAUACUUUUUUGGUUUUGUUUUAAGAAACAAAACAAAGGAGAACCAAUGUUACUGGUCCCAGGAAUGUGGUCAUUUGAUGUUUAAAAAAAAAAAAUCCAUUUUUUUUGAUAGCCUCUUAUGACCCUAGAUGGUUUUUGCUAGGAAUUGUUUCUUUUGUACAGUUGCACUUUAAUUUAUACUUUCUGAAAGUUUCUAUGAGAAGCAAGGAAGAGAAAGACACGUUAAGCCUUUUGUACUAAUCAUUUUAGGUAAUGAAGACAAAUACGGGAUAUUUUUGCCAUCUACUGGCAGUUAAGUGGACGUUUUCAACUUGAAGUCCCUUUUUUUAACAAACACAAAAUUGCCUUACUUUUGUUACAGAUUACACUUUGAUUCUCACUAGUGUGAAUUUCCAGCUCCGUUUUUUCCAGAAGCCGCACAAAGUAGAAAGCUGCCAAAAACCCAUCCAUUUUGCUGUUAAGUUCUCAUAUGCAGAAUCCAACACAGCAGUGUUUGGAUUACAAACCUGACAGCAGAACAAUUUUGUUUUUAAAAGAAACACUGGAAAUAUUUGUAGUACUCCUAGGUUUUGUAAUAAGCUUUUAUUAUAUUAUUCUUAUGAAAUAAAUACUCUGGGGUGAGGAAUGGCUUUGACAGCCUGCCUGGUGGCUGUCAGGUGACGCACGUCUCCUGUGCUCUGGUAUAAGAAAGAACAGAGAAUCCAGAAUCCUGCAUACAAAAAAAAGAAAGCCCUAGAGCCAAAUCUGGCCAGCAUCUUGCUCCUUAGGAGCUUUUGGAUCAGUGCUGAGAUGCCAGCAAAGGUUGGGCAAACAGAUCUGGAUGUUUUAGGUGCUGGAGAUAAGCUCCUCGGAAAGGAGCAGGAGAGGGUGGCCGAGUGGCUGCAGGUACAGACAGGAAUUCCCAUCGAGGAAACAAUUAGGAAUCUCCGUGUCCUGCUCCCUGCUGUGAAGUAUAUUUGUAAUGUAAAAGGCUGUUUAAGUCAUCACUCACAAUUUAGCAUCUUGCCAAGGCACUUGUCCUGGAAACAACUGUGGCCCAGCUGAUAAUGGGCUCGUGCAUUAGAUGUAAUCUGUAUUUCAGAAGUGUGUAGAUGUACUGAUGUCUUGCCUUAAAAUUACACUUGUCCUCUGGGAUUUCCUACCCCGCAGGACUAGUAGUGUUAAGCAGCAGCACGUUCCCUAAGGAAGAAAUAAGUGCUUCCUGGAGGCACGUGGGAUUUUUAGGUGGUAGGAUAAGACCUUGUGGCACUUUGCAUCUUCUCAGACCCAUGCAAACAUUAACUAAACGUAUGGAUCUGCAAAACCAGUCCUGCCAAAAAGGCAACAAGAGUGUCUCAGGUUUCCAUAUGGAGAAAAGCAAAGAGACGAAGCUACUCUCAGCAGAGGCAUUGCAGCAAGUAGGUCGGGUGGUAAGCAUGUAGAGCUCCAGCCCAGAGCUGGUGGAAGGACCUCAGCGAACAGAUCGGAUUAAACUCUCCAUUAAACAGCCUUACCUAAAUCCAUGCUGCAUUUGGAGAUGUUCUGAGACAUUUCAUCAUUUUUAUUUUUUUUUUAACUUUCAAAUAGGCUGUUUUCUGGUUCCCAGAAGCAAAGAAACUACUGACCUCCAGAUAUGCUUUCUGGAGGAAAAGUUUGUUUUACACUGUUACACUGUGGUCCAGUGUUUGAGUUAUACUGGUACGUGCACGACCAUUAGGAAAAGCAGGGUAGAUGUAUUUGAAGUAAACAAACUUGAAUUCCUCCAAGUGCAAUUCUUCAUAAGCCACUGGACAGCUGUGCUUUGCAAGCCACAGAUUCACCCGAAUAUUGCUUCAGCCCAACCGGGAGAGAGACACCAUGCAGAGGUCAGUUAGGCUCCAGCAUUAACCUCCAGCUCCUGGUUGAGUUAAUUCAGAAAUAGCUUGUAAUGUACUAGUUGGCAAAUAUAUAUAUGUGUAUAUUAUAUACGCAGGGGCAGUUUGGGUCUCAGGAGUUGGAGCUAAGCAGGCAAAGGCAGCGGGAGGUUUUUGUUUAAUAGGUUAGAAGUGCACAUGCAGCGUGUGUCCAGUUUAGCUUUCCAGAAGGUGUGUACAAGCACAGGGAUGUGGGCAGUGUUGUAAAAAGUGAAGCAACUGGUUCGUAUCUGUUGUAUAUACAUUAUUUUUUGUGAUUAUAAUGCCAAAUCAUAUCAGAAUAGAUGAAGUCUGAACAAAGUAACUGUUCUGUCUACUCCGUUUUGUUUUACUGCUCUUUACCAUCAGUCUUUUGUGCACCCAUGUAGAAGGAAGAGAGACCCUAGCACAGGACAUGAAAUCGUGCCUUCAACACACAUUAGGACUGCUGGAAACUGCAGCUUUAUUUCCCGAGGUGCACAAAUCCCACAGCUCACGCAGAAUCGUACCGAGUGCAAAGCAAAACUGAAUCCCAGGACGACUGUAGUACCCAUGGCCCAGCAUCUCUGGGCAGACAAUCCUCACCUCUGAGAUAGGAACCAGACUAGCCCAUUGCAAGGUUUGGUUUGGAUUAUAAAGAAUAUUUAUGAUUUUUCUUCUGCUAAGAUGCUGAACUUUAAAAAGCUCUGAGUAUAAGCAUCUCUUCAAACGUAUCAUUAACAUGAAGCUCAGAAGAGAAUACUAAGUUCUAUGACUACUCCAUCCUUCUUGACAUUUUGUACUUUGUCAACUAAUCAGGAAGGUUGUGUUGACUGGUUCACUGAAAUUGAGAUUUAUUUCUGGGUAUAGCCUUUGUGGAAGGGCACAGAGCUUGGGUUCAGUUUUGGCCUUUGUACAAGUAACUGUGCAUUAGAUAAUCACAAAGAAGUCUUUUACCUUCUGUUGGUGGUGUGGAAAGUGGUUCUCAGUGUACUGCACUGCAUGUGAUAGCUGUUUCCAUGGUUGACAUUUGCACUUUAAUAAACUCAGAGACAAAAAGAGACAGUAGCAACAACUCCUUGAAACUUACUGGCUGGGUGAAGGGGCAGAGAAGAGUGUUAAAAUACCUGAGUGCGUAACAAAAACAGCUUUCCCAACCCAGAAUGCACACCAUGAGCCUGGCCCACAAAUUUUUCUCCCAUUUUAACAUGCAUCUAGUGGAGCUGAUGGACCUGUCCUGAGUCAGAUCUUGACUUCUUACGUAAAAGCACAGAAACAAAUAUUU
This is an RNA transcript of Cygnus olor (mute swan), 6152 nucleotides long. It is a transcript of the gene named protein kinase AMP-activated catalytic subunit alpha 2, with no coding region annotated. The record is from RefSeq and is a predicted model, not a curated record. The transcript is spliced from 10 exons. NCBI's taxonomy places the organism in Eukaryota, Metazoa, Chordata, Aves, Anseriformes, Anatidae.